CCUUGUCAAUGCACGCAAAGUGUGAACAGGGGUAUUCUGAGUGCUUAUGUUAUGCAUAGGCUUUUAUCGAGAGUUAAUAUCUCGAUGAAUAAGUGGUGGGCAAGACUGGUGCCAGCAGCCGCGGUAACACCAGCGCCACAAGUGGGAAUCGUUUAUUGGGCCUAAAGCGUCCGUAGCCGGUUUGGUAAGUUUUCUGUGAAAUUGUGUAGCUUAAAUAUACAUCGUGCAGGGAAUACUACCAGACUAGGAACCGGGAGGGGCUAGAAGUAUUCGUGGGGAAGCGGUAAAAUGUUAUAAUCCCACGAGGACUACCUAUGGCGAAGGCAUCUAGCCAGAACGG
This 340-nucleotide ribosomal RNA is filed under the name uncultured Methanosarcina sp. Its description in RNAcentral is "bacterial SSU rRNA". It matches the Rfam family "Archaeal small subunit ribosomal RNA", at positions 347 to 688 of the family's 1478-position model. The record is from RNAcentral. Lineage: Archaea; Methanobacteriati; Methanobacteriota; Methanomicrobia; Methanosarcinales; Methanosarcinaceae.